This 496-nucleotide ribosomal RNA is filed under the name uncultured bacterium. RNAcentral's name for it is "partial 16S ribosomal RNA". It matches the Rfam family "Bacterial small subunit ribosomal RNA", at positions 28 to 506 of the family's 1533-position model. The record is from RNAcentral.
GAUGAACGCUGGCGGCGUGCCUAAUACAUGCAAGUCGAGCGAACAGACGAGGAGCUUGCUCCUCUGACGUUAGCGGCGGACGGGUGAGUAACACGUGGAUAACCUACCUAUAAGACUGGGAUAACUUCGGGAAACCGGAGCUAAUACCGGAUAAUAUAUUGAACCGCAUGGUUCAAUAGUGAAAGACGGUUUUGCUGUCACUUAUAGAUGGAUCCGCGCCGCAUUAGCUAGUUGGUAAGGUAACGGCUUACCAAGGCGACGAUGUGUAGCCGACCUGAGAGGGUGAUCGGCCACACUGGAACUGAGACACGGUCCAGACUCCUACGGGAGGCAGCAGUAGGGAAUCUUCCGCAAUGGGCGAAAGCCUGACGGAGCAACGCCGCGUGAGUGAUGAAGGUCUUCGGAUCGUAAAACUCUGUUAUUAGGGAAGAACAAAUGUGUAAGUAACUAUGCACGUCUUGACGGUACCUAAUCAGAAAGCCACGGCUAACUACGU